This 549-nucleotide ribosomal RNA is filed under the name uncultured bacterium. RNAcentral's name for it is "partial 16S ribosomal RNA". It matches the Rfam family "Bacterial small subunit ribosomal RNA", at positions 355 to 914 of the family's 1533-position model. The record is from RNAcentral.
UGGGGAAUAUUGCACAAUGGGCGAAAGCCUGAUGCAGCGACGCCGCGUGAGGGAUGACGGCCUUCGGGUUGUAAACCUCUUUCAGCAGGGACGAAGCGCAAGUGACGGUACCUGCAGAAGAAGCACCGGCUAACUACGUGCCAGCAGCCGCGGUAAUACGUAGGGUGCAAGCGUUGUCCGGAAUUACUGGGCGUAAAGAGUUCGUAGGCGGUUUGUCGCGUCGUUUGUGAAAACCAGCAGCUCAACUGCUGGCUUGCAGGCGAUACGGGCAGACUUGAGUACUGCAGGGGAGACUGGAAUUCCUGGUGUAGCGGUGAAAUGCGCAGAUAUCAGGAGGAACACCGGUGGCGAAGGCGGGUCUCUGGGCAGUAACUGACGCUGAGGAACGAAAAGCGUGGGUAGCGAACAGGAUUAGAUACCCUGGUAGUCCACGCCGUAAACGGUGGGCGCUAGGUGUGGGUUCCUUCCACGGAAUCCGUGCCGUAGCUAACGCAUUAAGCGCCCCGCCUGGGGAGUACGGCCGCAAGGCUAAAACUUAAAGGAAUUGAC